RNAcentral lists this unclassified non-coding RNA (243 nucleotides) under uncultured bacterium. RNAcentral's name for it is "16S-23S ribosomal RNA intergenic spacer". The record is from RNAcentral.
CUAAGGAAAUAAGUUGUCUUUUCUAAUAUAUAAUUAUUUAGUUUUGAGUGUUUAAUCACUCAUUGAACAUUGAAAAUUGAAUAACAAACACAACGGUUAUAGAAAUAUAAUCGGAGCCAGACAAUAUUUUGAUAUAUGCAAAUCAAAGUAAAGAAAAAGAGGUAAAGAUAAAAAGUUUUUCCGUUUUAUAGAAAUAUAAAAAAGAUUUAAACAAUAUCAAGCCAAAGAUUUGAAAGGAUCAAA